RNAcentral lists this ribosomal RNA (260 nucleotides) under uncultured Planctomycetota bacterium. Its description in RNAcentral is "uncultured planctomycete partial 16S ribosomal RNA". It matches the Rfam family "Bacterial small subunit ribosomal RNA", at positions 927 to 1181 of the family's 1533-position model. Lineage: Bacteria; Pseudomonadati; Planctomycetota. The record is from RNAcentral.
AAGCGGUGGAGCAUGUGGUUCAAUUCGAAGCAACGCGCAGAACCUUACCUGGGCUUGACAUGCUAGGAUUAUCCCUAUGAAAGUAGGGUAGGCCCUUCGGGGUACAGCUAGUACAGGUGCUGCAUGGCUGUCGUCAGCUCGUGUCGUGAGAUGUCGGGUUAAGUCCCUUAACGAGCGAAACCUUUGCCCUUAGUUACCAUCGGGUUAUGCCGGGGACUCUAAGGGGACUGCCGGUGUCAAACCGGAGGAAGGUGGAGAUG